This is a long non-coding RNA of Pantherophis guttatus, 385 nucleotides long. RefSeq lists it as uncharacterized. Lineage: Eukaryota; Metazoa; Chordata; Lepidosauria; Squamata; Colubridae. The record is from RefSeq and is a predicted model, not a curated record.
UUGGCAAGGUGAAGCCUAUUAGAGCAAAACAUUUUACUAAGAAGUCUAACUUCAGCUGCAACUCUUACUUCUACUGUUACAAUUAUUAUUCAGAAUAAUAAAAAUAAUGUAAAAAGAAAGAAACACCCUGACAUUGCUUAGUAAGAACAAAACAGAAUGCAUGUCUAUGUGGAGUGCUGAAACAUCUGUGACCUAUUUAUUCACCCAAAAUGAAGAAGAUGUAUAGUGGGGGGAGAAAAUUCAUCUUGUUGACUUGUUUCCAAAAUUUUCUGGGAUUAUACUUUUUCUGUUCACUUCAUUAGAUACACUUCUUCAUGCCCCAAUUUCUUUUAAAGCUUUCCAGAGUUUGUUUGUUUUUUAAUUAAAGCAAACUACACCAAACAAA